GAUGAACGCUGGCGGCGUGCCUAAUACAUGCAAGACGAGCGAACGGACGAGAAGCUUGCUUCUCUGAUGUUAGCGGCGGACGGGUGAGUAACACGUGGAUAACCUACCUAUAAGACUGGGAUAACUUCGGGAAACCGGAGCUAAUACCGGAUAAUAUUUUGAACCGCAUGGUUCAAAAGUGAAAGACGGUCUUGCUGUCACUUAUAGAUGGAUCCGCGCUGCAUUAGCUAGUUGGUAAGGUAACGGCUUACCAAGGCAACGAUGCAUAGCCGACCUGAGAGGGGGACCGGCCAACCGGGAACGUACACACGGUCCAGCCCCCUAGGGGAGGCAGCAGUAGGGAAUUUCCCGAAAUGGGCGAAAGCCUGACGGAGCAACGCCGCGUGAGUGAUGAAGUUUUUCGGUUCGUAAAACUCUUUUUUUAGGAAAAAAAAUAUGUUUAAGUAACUGUGCACAUUUUGACGGUACCAAAUAAAAAAGCCACGGCUAACUACGU
Molecule: ribosomal RNA, 496 nt
Filed under: uncultured bacterium
Lineage: Bacteria
Description: partial 16S ribosomal RNA
Rfam family: Bacterial small subunit ribosomal RNA
Source: RNAcentral